RNAcentral lists this ribosomal RNA (600 nucleotides) under uncultured bacterium. Its description in RNAcentral is "bacterial SSU rRNA". It matches the Rfam family "Bacterial small subunit ribosomal RNA", at positions 104 to 703 of the family's 1533-position model. The record is from RNAcentral.
GGGUGCGGAGCACGUGUGCAACCUGCCUUUAUCUGGGGGAUAGCCUUUCGAAAGGAAGAUUAAUACCCCAUAAUAUGUUGAAUGGCAUCAUUCGACAUUGAAAACUCCGGUGGAUAGAGAUGGGCACGCGCAAGAUUAGAUAGUUGGUGAGGUAACGGCUCACCAAGUCUACGAUCUUUAGGGGGCCUGAGAGGGUGAUCCCCCACACUGGUACUGAGACACGGACCAGACUCCUACGGGAGGCAGCAGUGAGGAAUAUUGGACAAUGGGUGAGAGCCUGAUCCAGCCGUCCCGCGUGAAGGACGACUGCCCUAUGGGUUGUAAACUUCUUUUGUAUAGGGAUAAACCUACCCUCGUGAGGGUAGCUGAAGGUACUAUACGAAUAAGCACCGGCUAACUCCGUGCCAGCAGCCGCGGUAAUACGGAGGGUGCAAGCGUUAUCCGGAUUUAUUGGGUUUAAAGGGUCCGUAGGCGGAUCUGUAAGUCAGUGGUGAAAUCUCACAGCUUAACUGUGAAACUGCCAUUGAUACUGCAGGUCUUGAGUGUUGUUGAAGUAGCUGGAAUAAGUAGUGUAGCGGUGAAAUGCAUAGAUAUUACUUA